RNAcentral lists this ribosomal RNA (253 nucleotides) under uncultured bacterium. RNAcentral describes it as "partial 16S ribosomal RNA". It matches the Rfam family "Bacterial small subunit ribosomal RNA", at positions 524 to 776 of the family's 1533-position model. The record is from RNAcentral.
UACAGAGGGUGCAAGCGUUGUUCGGAAUUAUUGGGCGUAAAGGGCGCGUAGGCGGUGCGGUAAGUCUGUAGUGAAAUCUCUGGGCUCAACUCAGAGUCUGCUAUAGAAACUGCCGUGCUCGAGUGUGGGAGAGGUGAGUGGAAUUCCCGGUGUAGCGGUGAAAUGCGUAGAUAUCAAGAGGAACACCUGAGGUGAAGACGGGUUGCUGGGCUGACACUGACGCUGAGGCGCGAAAGCCAGGGGAGCAAACAGG